UACGUAGGGUGCAAGCGUUAAUCGGAAUUACUGGGCGUAAAGCGUGCGCAGGCGGUUUUGUAAGUCUGUCGUGAAAGCCCCGGGCUCAACCUGGGAAUUGCGAUGGAGACUGCAAGGCUUGAAUCUGGCAGAGGGGGGUAGAAUUCCACGUGUAGCAGUGAAAUGCGUAGAGAUGUGGAGGAACACCGAUGGCGAAGGCAGUGUCCUGGCUGGUGACUGACGCUGAGGUGCGAAAGCGUGGGGAGCAAACAGG
RNAcentral lists this ribosomal RNA (253 nucleotides) under uncultured bacterium. Its description in RNAcentral is "partial 16S ribosomal RNA". It matches the Rfam family "Bacterial small subunit ribosomal RNA", at positions 524 to 776 of the family's 1533-position model. The record is from RNAcentral.